This is a long non-coding RNA of Pantherophis guttatus, 480 nucleotides long. RefSeq lists it as uncharacterized. Lineage: Eukaryota; Metazoa; Chordata; Lepidosauria; Squamata; Colubridae. The record is from RefSeq and is a predicted model, not a curated record.
GGGAAGAGAGCUUGCUCAAACACGUACUUUGCCCACAAGACCAAACACAUCAAGAUAUUCAGAGCAUCAAGAGUCAGUUUGAUGCAGUCAAAGCCACAAUGAAGAUCUGCUUCAGUGGUAUCCUGGGACAGGGCUUGAUGGGCCUUGAGAAACUACAGAGGGUAAUGAUACCCACAACGAGUAGGAAUGUUCUGCCAAUUGUGCCCCAGGAACAAUGAAUGAGUGCCCCAGAUACCAGGGUGCUUGAAGGAGUGAAUGAAUGCCCAAGCAACAGGCUGUCCAAACCUUGUUAUUCCAUCCAUGGAGCCAUGCUGCCAUCUAGUGGCCAGAGAUGAUUUCCAUUGAAAUCAUAUUUCCAAAACAAGUUUUGAGCGAAUGCUUGGAGAAACAGAAUUGCACCAAAUGAGCCUUGUGGCACUUGGAAAGAUUAAUGUAUUUAUUAUGGUACACGCAUUUGGAGAAUAAAGUCCCAUUCCAUCA